Molecule: ribosomal RNA, 440 nt
Filed under: uncultured bacterium
Lineage: Bacteria
Description: partial 16S ribosomal RNA
Rfam family: Bacterial small subunit ribosomal RNA
Source: RNAcentral
CCUACGGGUGGCUGCAGUGGGGGAUAUUGCACAAUGGGGGAAACCCUGAUGCAGCGACGCCGCGUGAGUGAAGAAGUCUUUCGGUAUGUAAAGCUCUAUCAGCAGGGAAGAAAAUUACAGUACCUGACCAAGUCGCCCCGGCUCACUACGUGCCAGCCGCCGCGGGAAUACGUAGGGGGCAAGCGUUAUCCGGAUUUACUGGGUGUAAAGGGAGCGUAGGCGGUUAUGUAAGUCUGGAGGGAAAGCCCGGGGCCGAACCCCGGGACUGCUUUGGAAACUGGGUAACUGGAGUGCAGGAGGGGCAGGCGGAAUGCCUGGGGUAGCGGUGUAAUGCGUAGAUAUCGGGAGGAACACCGGCGGCGAAGGCGGCCUGCUGGACUGAAACUGACGUUGAGGCGCGAAAGCGUGGGGAGCAAACAGGAUUAGAGACCCGUGUAGUC